Long non-coding RNA from Mus musculus (house mouse), 1232 nucleotides. RefSeq annotates it as predicted gene, 39784. The transcript has 3 exons. Lineage: Eukaryota; Metazoa; Chordata; Mammalia; Rodentia; Muridae. The record is from RefSeq and is a predicted model, not a curated record.
UUUUCUUCCCUCUUCCCUCUGUCCUCUCCCCGACCCUCCCCCAGCACAGACGGGGUGUUUUGUCCACCCCACCACCAGCUGUCCACACUCUAGAGAAGCGGCACAACCUUGUCCCCAGAACUGAGGAGGGGGGCUGUCUACCCCUAGCCCCAGGCUGAGGCUGCAACUCAAGCAGGACCCAGGGCACACAUCCCUGCUGGGGGAAGGGAAUGCCUCCUCCCUUCAGGAACAUCCAGAGUUUGUAGCGUGGAGACCCUAAUAAUAUUUCCAGCAGCUCCUGAGGUUUGAAUCUAACUUGCAAAUGCCCCCUUUGAUCUCCCUCCUUUGGUGGUUAGGUGCUGCUGGAGCAGGGUCCAGAAGGGUGUAGAGACUGGCCAGCCCCUCUGCAGUUGCUCUCAACCAGGUUGAUUCUGCAGUGUGGUGAAGUCCUGCAUGCUCAGUUUUGAUAUCCCUGCUGGCUUGCCACCAUCAUAGUAUCCACCACCAGCGUCUCCCUGGGCUGUUCUCCAAACCCCACGGUAGUUCCUGUGCUCUUUCCCCUCAGCCUCUGCCCACCACCACACCCUCAUGUUCUUGAUUCUCUGCAGCAGGCCCCUGACUUCUGUGUGCUAUGCUGUUGAGCCGAACUCAUUCAUGCCCCAGGGCCUUUGCACGUGUGGCUCUCCUUCGGGAGACAGGGACGCUGUACUUGACAGUCCUAUUGAAUCUGAGCAUUGGUUCACUGGAGUUUUCUCACGCUCAAACUGAGCUUCAGUCACACAUCCCUACAGCACAGGGACAGCUCUCAAUGAACCCCUACAGCGCAGCCUGCCUCUGCACACACUGGGCAGAGGCUGGGCCCUCUCUGUGAGCAUCUCAUAUCCUGGAUCUCAGUUUCCCUGCCUGAAGGAAUUUUAAAUCUCCAGCCUGAGGAGUUGUCCCAUCCCACCAACCCGGAUGCACCUGGAGCCCUGCGGGAGGCUUGGGAAAACUGUCCCUCCCCAGCAGGGACUCGCUGAAGCCCAGAGCGGCCUCCCGGGGAGUCGGCUCCCAGCCGGGAUGAAAGGGAGCCCGGCGAAGCCACCUCCCCAAGGCCCACCCGCCCCUUCCGCAACCGGAUCCCGCGGCGGCCGCUUUGAUGUCCCAGCCCUCGCUGGGGAGGGCGGCCCGGGGGACUCCCAGGCCGACUUGAAAGGGUGAGCCGCGCAGCCGGGUCUUCCCAGGACCGUGGGGUUGGGAGAAGGAUUGGGGGG